GUGAGACUUGUUCUCUCUGUUAGUGAGAGAUUUUCUCUAUGUUUAGUGCGUCUAGUUUCUCCGAGUAGCAGAAUUAUGGCCUCCCCUGCUCAAUUGGGUAGGAUAGGGCUUCUCCGCAGUCAAAGUAUGGGUCUUCCCUCCCCAACUCAAUUUGGGUUGUGCAUAGUUGUCUUUGCGUUUUUGCUUGCAGAUAGAUUGUUUAAUGGUGAGAGAUUUGUGCUGAUCUACUGUUGAUUUCUCUAUGGCUCGACUCAGGGGGUUUCUCCAGUUGGCUAACAACUCAAGGGAUAUCGUGACCGUUCGAUGUUGGUCAUCAGUCUUAGGCUAUAGGAGAUUGACAUGCUUGAGUUUCUGCCUUAUCAUUCCCAAUUCAUCCGGCAUCUACAUGGGUCUUGCUCUUUUUCAGUGGAUGAUAGUUCUUCUAGUUUAACUAUGCCUAGGGGAUGAUGAUAUCUGUCCAAGACUUACUAAUUAGAUUUGAGCUAACUGUUUUUACCUUGAAUGUCCUCAGAGGUCUUGGUAUUAAAUUUCUAGAGAUAUGAUCAUCUCUCCUUGGUAGCAAGUGGAGGGGUGGUGGAUUUACUGUUGCUUCAUUUAUGCUGGGUUAAAUGCGAGUCAAACAUUUUGAUUGUUCUAAGGUUUCUUUGUAAGGACUUUGAGCCAUAUGAGUUUUGGGCUUGGGUGUUAAAAUUGCUAGUCAUUGUUGUAGCUCUAUCCAUAUAGUUAAACUUUCAUAUAAUGAAACGGUGCUUUUGCUAAAAAAAAUUCAAUAAAAAUUUUU
RNAcentral lists this unclassified non-coding RNA (781 nucleotides) under Hevea brasiliensis (rubber tree). Lineage: Eukaryota; Viridiplantae; Streptophyta; Magnoliopsida; Malpighiales; Euphorbiaceae. The record is from RNAcentral.